UACGGGGGGGGCAAGCGUUGUUCGGAAUUACUGGGCGUAAAGGGCUCGUAGGCGGCCAACUAAGUCAGACGUGAAAUCCCUCGGCUUAACCGGGGAACUGCGUCUGAUACUGGAUGGCUUGAGAUUGGGAGAGGGAUGCGGAAUUCCAGGUGUAGCGGUGAAAUGCGCAGAUAUCAGGAAGAACACCCGUGGCGAAAGCGGCUCUCUGGAACGGUACUGACGCUGAGACGCGAAAGCGUGGGGAGCGAACAGG
RNAcentral lists this ribosomal RNA (253 nucleotides) under uncultured bacterium. RNAcentral describes it as "partial 16S ribosomal RNA". It matches the Rfam family "Bacterial small subunit ribosomal RNA", at positions 524 to 776 of the family's 1533-position model. The record is from RNAcentral.